This is a non-coding RNA of Acanthosepion pharaonis, 96 nucleotides long. Lineage: Eukaryota; Metazoa; Mollusca; Cephalopoda; Sepiida; Sepiidae. The record is from the annotation of a GenBank genome assembly.
GAAACAUCGGUUCCCGUACGAUCACUAAUGUUAAGCAACGUCGAGCCUGGUCAGUAGCUAGAUGGGUAACAACUUGGGAAUAACAGCUGCUGUAAG